Molecule: long non-coding RNA, 1138 nt
Filed under: Homo sapiens (human)
Lineage: Eukaryota; Metazoa; Chordata; Mammalia; Primates; Hominidae
Description: HSALNT0301408
Source: RNAcentral
UCGGCUGCCAGCAGCAAUAGCAGAGGAAGAAGAAACAUAAAUGGGGCCUGGACUUUCACUUCACAGCAAAGUAGCCCAGGAAGUUUGAGGAGACUCAGAGUCACUGUCAAGUCGUCAAGGACCUGGGUCACCCUGCAUCCCCAUCUGGGGCUCCUUCUAUAUCAGUUUUCCUGAAGCUUAGUCCAACUUCUUGAAGUGGGCCAAGAAAAGGCUGUUUCCAGAAUUGGAUAUUGCAUCUCUAAAACACAAGCUUCACUGAUGUCGUGGAGUCUAUGAGACACAAACUUUAUCUCAUAUGGUAGAAUCCGGAAUGGUAGGAACAGAGGGAGGGAGCAAUCAGCCCAUCGGAGGUCACAAAGUAUCUUUGGGUGCCGGGAGUGGUCACUACCAGAGGCUCAGCUUAGGAGGGCAAAACACUUCCCAUCUUUGCCCAAAUUGCCACAUCACCCAGGGCAAGGUUGCAGGGGUGUCUUUGACUAAUGAGAGACCUGCGGUCCCAGUGUGUUUUGAAAUCGUGCUCUCUGACACGCUCUAAAGAACAGAGGAGGUCAGUACAAAUUGCUGGUCUUUGUUGAUUUUCUUUUCUGCAAACAGAUCAGCCAUCGCUUCACACCCAAGGAAAGAACUGCUGUCCAGUGCCAGGCCCAGAGCUUCAUGGUUUGUGGCAAGUCUUUGGAAAGAUAACGUCUAACUUCAUUCAUUUUAGCUGAAAAUACCCCAUGGUGGCAUUUUUCUGGUCUCCCUACUAAAAAAGUUUAUAACCCGGCCUACGCCUCCUCAGAACUCUGAAAAAUGUACCUUUUCCACCUCACAAGGCUUGGUUCCACUUUCUGACAGCAAGAGAACAUUGCGAAGAGAAAUGUGAAUGGGUUUCAUCAUGAUUUCUGAUAAGACAUUGUGUUGACCUUUUGAGGUACAGCCACAGAUCAGCAGAGGUACUAAGAACAUACAUGUGGAAAAGACAAUUUCUUCGAUAGAUGAUAUUGAGAAAGCUGGAUGUCCACAUGCAGAAGGAUGAAAUUGGACCUUUAUCUCACAUCAUAGAUAAAAAUCAACUCAGAAUGGAUUAAAGACUUAAACAUAAGGUCUGAAGCUGUAAAACUAGUAGAAGGAAAUAGGAGAAAGCUUCAUAACAUUG